CAGUCGCCGCGGGAAUACGUAGGGUGCAAGCGUUAAUCGGAAUUACUGGGCGUAAAGCGUGCGCAGGCGGUGUUGUAAGACUGAUGUGAAACCCCCGGGCUCAACCUGGGAACUGCAUUGGUGACUGCAACGCUGGAGUGCGGCAGAGGGGGAUGGAAUUCCGCGUGUAGCAGUGAAAUGCGUAGAUAUGCGGAGGAACACCGAUGGCGAAGGCAAUCCCCUGGGCCUGCACUGACGCUCAUGCACGAAAGCGUGGGGAGCAAACAGGAUUAGAUACCCCCGUAGUCCCUGUCUCUUAUAC
RNAcentral lists this ribosomal RNA (301 nucleotides) under uncultured bacterium. Its description in RNAcentral is "partial 16S ribosomal RNA". It matches the Rfam family "Bacterial small subunit ribosomal RNA", at positions 509 to 807 of the family's 1533-position model. The record is from RNAcentral.